AGUUGGUUUGCUGAUACAUUGAUAGGAAUAUAAAAAUAUCCAGUGUCCAAUAACGUAAAAUUCAGAAUGUCUGGCGUCCCACCAAAAAUAACCCUGCAUGCAAAGAAGCAAGAAAUUACUGCCCUUAUUGAGGAGAUAAACUGAUAAAGUUAAGCCAGGCUGACAAAGAUUUUAGAAUUAGUAGGCAUUAAAAGUUAUUGUCACUGUAACCCAUACUUCCAAAAGUUAAAUUGAGAUAUGGAAUAUAUUAAAGUUUAAAAUUUUAAAAAUUUAAAUUUUUAAAAAUAAAAAAUUGAACUUCCAGAGACAGAAAUACAAUGUCUGAGAUGAAAGAGCCACUGGAUGAUAGGAUUAACAACAGAUUAGAUUUUGCAGAAGAAAGUAUUAGUGAACUUGAAGGUUUAGUCAUAGAAAUGAUCCCAAAUGAAACAAAAAGAGCAGGGGAUGUAUUUGCUUUAUAAGGUGACUUCAAUAAGUUACCAAAAGCUCACUUCUAUUGCCCUUGAUAAAGUCUCUGUGUUGAUCUAAACAAACAUUUUUUCUUUUUAAAUAGGCUUUAUACACAACAUGGGAGUUGAACUCAUGACCCUGGAAUCAAGAGUUGCAUGUUGACUGAUAGCCAAGCAGCCCAUCCAAAAGUUCACUUCUAGAGGUCUUCUGUCUUCUAAGACUUUCUGCAAUGCAUAUAGAGACCAUGAUCGCAUUCAAAGCAAGUUGUAUUUGCUUCCUAAGUGACAAGAAGGCUGACGAGCAGGGAGACUUGGUCAUCAUGCCCGUGAUUGCUUGGAUCUUGAACUCCAUCUCCGUGCUGCCCCACCUUGUUCAAUUUACUGCUGAGGGACCGACCAACUGUGAGUCUCUGGUUUGACUGCAGACCUGUUCAAUGCCUUGGGAGCGGACCCCAUGCCAGUCUUAAUAAAAAGCACACUGCUUCUGGGGCUCA
RNAcentral lists this long non-coding RNA (943 nucleotides) under Felis catus (domestic cat). Its description in RNAcentral is "lncRNA (ENSFCAG00000050854.1)". The record is from RNAcentral. Lineage: Eukaryota; Metazoa; Chordata; Mammalia; Carnivora; Felidae.